GAGAAUCUCUCAACGCAUGCGCAUUGUACGAAACUACUUGUAGGAGCGUGUUAUUUCUACUCGUUUAAACGAUUCUUUCACCGGUUUUCUAGUUUCAAACUAAUCAAUAAAGAUGACUUUGGCAAGAACUGUAAUCUUCAGAUUGGCGGGGAAGUCAAAGGUAUAUAUUCCAAAUUAAAUUGCUUAAAGUUCUCUGAUAUUUCGGUAAAGGAGGACGUUUCAUCCCCCAGCUAUAGUCAUUGAUAACUAAAUUGUUUCUGAUGAGGAUAUAGUAUUUACUAUAAAUCCAAAGAGGAAAUAAUAUAGUUACCUUUCAUGUGAGAUAUGAAGUAGGGUGUUACACAAUCGGACUAUGCUCUAAUUUUGAAUGGAAUUCAAUCAAGGUCAUUCUUGAAAGGCACUUAUCUAUACAAUAGAGAGAUAAACCAAAUUGAAAUUAUCUUGGUUCACUAAUAGGUAAUAGUAAGAUAUCCAUCUUUUUUCAUAGAUUCCAACUCCGGCUAUUUAUCAAGCAAGAGGCUAUGCUGAAGCCAGUAACAACAAUCUUAAGGAUGUUCUCUCGAACCUCGUUCCGCAACAGCAAGCACUUGUCAAGAAGUUCCGAAGCAAUCAUGGCGAUACCAAAGUGGGACAUGUCACCGUGGAUAUGAUGUAUGGAGGAAUGAGAGGAAUUAAGGGCCUCGUAACGGAAACAUCAGUUCUAGAUCCGGAAGAAGGAAUUCGUUUCAGAGGGUACAGUAUUCCUGAAUGUCAAAAUUUACUACCUAAAGCUCCAGGAGGAGAGGAGCCUUUACCAGAAGGUUUAUUCUGGUUAUUAGCCACUGGUGAUAUUCCCACUGAACAACAGGUAGCAAGCAUUACCGAGGAAUGGAAUAAGCGGGCACAUUUGCCAUCUCAUGUUGUUACCAUGUUGAACAACUUCCCCAACAAUAUGCACCCCAUGUCCCAAUUUGGAGCCGCUAUUACAGCUUGCAAUACUGAAUCCCGCUUUGCUAGAGCUUACGCUCAAGGUGUUUCUAAGGCUAGCUACUGGGAACAUGUUUAUGAAGACGCUAUGGACAUGAUUGCUAAAUUGCCUACAAUUGCAGCUAUAAUUUAUAGAAAUCUUUACAGAGAUGGAACAAGCGUUGGGGCAAUUGAUGAAAGCAAGGAUUGGUCUGCCAAUUUUGUGUCUAUGUUAGGAUAUGAAGAUGAAAAAUUUACUGAAUUAAUGCGAUUGUACUUGACAAUUCACUCCGAUCACGAAGGAGGAAAUGUCAGCGCCCAUACAUGUCAUUUAGUUGGAUCAGCUCUAUCAGAUCCUUAUUUGUCAUUUGCUGCUGGUAUGAACGGUUUGGCAGGUCCACUUCACGGUCUAGCAAAUCAAGAAGUACUUGUUUGGAUUACCAAGCUACAAGAAGCUGUAGGAGAUAAUCCAUCAGAUGAUACCAUCAAGGAAUUUAUCUGGAAUACUCUAAAUUCUGGACAAGUUGUACCUGGUUACGGACAUGCAGUUUUAAGAAAAACUGAUCCUCGUUAUACUUGUCAACGGGAAUUUGCAUUGAAGCAUCUUCCAAACGAUGCUACGUUUAAAAUUGUCGGGCAACUAUACAAAAUGGUACCAGAUAUUUUACAAGAACUUGGGAAAGUUGCUAACCCCUGGCCAAAUGUGGACGCUCACAGCGGUGUCCUUCUACAGUACUACGGAAUGAAGGAAAUGUCUUAUUAUACUGUUCUGUUUGGUGUAAGCAGAGCUUUGGGCUGUAUGAGCUCUUUGAUAUGGGAUAGAGCUUUCAAUUUACCUAUUGAAAGACCAAAAUCAAUGAGCACCGAAGGCUUGAUGAAACUCACGAAUUUUAAACCAUGAAAGAGACAAUACUGAAAUAAAAAGGACUCAAUAUCAUGUGUUAAAUAUAAAAUAAUAAGCUAUCAAUUGGACUAUUUCAGCUCUCUCUCUCGCUAUCUCUGCUAUUUUAGUUAGCAUUCCUGUUACAAAACGUAACGUUAAAUAAUUUUAGUUCUGUUCUAGAGUGUAAAGCAGAGCAUGAUUUUAUCCUACUGCAAUCUCUGUAAAAUAUUGUUUGGAAAAAUUAAGUAUUAGAUACUAAACAUAUUUUUCUCUAACAGUAGCACCAAUUCAUAGAAUCUACGUGUUGGAAAUAUUGUACAAAACCCUUAACAAUAUUUCCCUUGACCUAAUAAACUCAGCUAUAGUUAAAUCAUGUAAAAUGAGGAUGGUAAACAAGAUAUUUUAUUUUUGAAUUCUUUUGAAAGAAAAAUAUUUAUCUACUAGGUCAAGAUUAUAAAAAGAUUAUAAAUCUUUUGUAUUUGAGAAUAAAACUAGGACAACAUUCCCACAGUUUGAAUCAUAACUAUCUCGACAAAAGAGUCAAUUGAUAAUCAAAUUUAUGAGCUCCAUAAGUUGCAACAUGUUUUUGUAUAGAAAAAGGAAAUGAGGCAAAAACAACCUUUCUAGGCUUAGUUUCAGGACGGUGUCCGUAACUUUGAAUCCUGAAUAUAAUUCGAUCACAAUUUUCAUAGAUACCAAAUAUCUCAUAAAAAAUAAAAAAAUAUUACACUUAAUAAUUAUCUAAAUAGAAAAUGAUAUGUAUGUAAUUAAUAGAAAAACCCAAGAUCAAAUUGUUGGUUUCGUAAGUACUUCAUAUUUUUAGUAGGAUGAAUCCUCUAUAGUAAAAAACUUGAGACUGUUUCCAAAAGUCGACUUAUUAUCGUUCAGGUAUUUGACAAUUUUAGUUAAAUAUUCUGGAUAAAAAUCUUAUCUGUCGUAUUUUUAAUACAAAGUAAUAAAAAUUUAAUACAAAAAUUAGAUUCUUGGAAUUUUGGUGAUUUUGGCUUGGGUGUUUGUAAUCUUAGCUGGACGAAAGGCUUCACUUCGAUGGCUUGAUAGCAGAUAAAAAUUGAACAAUUAUUCCAAAUUCUCUACAUUGUUGUCAAUUAAGAGUUAUCUUCUAGCGAUAAGAAAAUUAUUACUACAAUAAUGGAUGAUAUUUCUUCUCUCUUGUACUAUUUUAUAUUGAUACCUGUUACCAUACCUGUAUUUCUAUUUUUUAUCACAUUAGCUUGGAUUGGAAAGAGGUUAUUUACGAAUAAUUAGUUUUUGGCAAUCUUCCAUCAAACAUACUUAGUUAUGACUGUUUUCUAUUAAAAUUUUUCUAUCUAAAAAAAAAAAGACGAAUAAAUAAAUUGUUUUAAACGAUUACAUAAGUACUUGGGUGCUUACAAUAAAAUGUAAUUGUCUUUUUUUGCGUUCAUGCGAAGUAAGGUCUAAAACACAUCUCAUACUGAGUUACAUGAUUGAGUCUACUUUAUUUUCUUAUAAAAUAUAUGUAGAAUAAUAGAAUUACUAAUCAUUUUUUUCUAGCCCAAUGUCUUAUCUAUUCGAUUUAUAUAAUUCUACUCAACCUAUAGUUAUUGUUCUCUAUAUCAGCGUAAGUUUUAAAAACACUUAUGUGGUAUAGUAUUGUUUUAACACUACUCAACAAUUCUUUUAUACCACUGUGGUGUUAUUUGGUUAUCUUAGUCAUCGGUAAUUAGUUUGGAUACUCUAGAAGAAAAAGUUGUG
This 3562-nucleotide unclassified non-coding RNA is filed under the name Dimorphilus gyrociliatus. RNAcentral's name for it is "citrate synthase". Lineage: Eukaryota; Metazoa; Annelida; Polychaeta; Dinophilidae. The record is from RNAcentral.